This is a long non-coding RNA of Oncorhynchus tshawytscha (Chinook salmon), 2055 nucleotides long. The record is from Ensembl. NCBI's taxonomy places the organism in Eukaryota, Metazoa, Chordata, Actinopteri, Salmoniformes, Salmonidae.
ACACACACACUCUACACACACGCACUCUACACACACACUCUACACACGCACUCUACACACACACUCUACACACACACUCUACACACUCACUCUAUACACACACUCUACACACACACACACACACACACUCUACAAACACACUCUACACACACACUCUACACACACACUCUACACACACACACUACACACACACACUCUACACACGCACUCUACACACACACACUCUACAAACACACACACACACUUUACACACGCACUCUACACACACACUCUACACACACACUAUACACACACACUCUACACACACACUAUACACACACACUGUACACACACACUAUACACACACACUGUACACACACACUCUACACACACACACUCUACACUCUACACACACUCUACACACACUCUACACACACACUCUACACACACAUACAUUGUAAUAUUCUAUUAUUGUACAUUUUGUGAUGGAAUUGUUUCAUACCUGUUUGCACCCCAGGAAGAGUAGCUGCUGCCUUGGUAGGAACUAAUGGGGAUCCUAUUAAAUACUAAAUACGCUCCUCUCCUUCUCCCAAACCCACCAUCCCUUGGAUCAAGCACUCUUCCCUGAGCUCCACAUCUAAUAAUGGCACCAUCAUUCCUCACUCUAAUUCUUUUGGCAGGGCCUGUCAAACAGCAUAUGCUGGAGGACACUGUGACUUUGAAAUGCUGCUAAUGACCCAAGGAUAUUUUCCCCUCGCUCGCUGGUGAUUAGAGAGAGAGAGGACCGAGGGAGGGAGGAGAGAAAAAGAGAGAAGGGUGCGAGAGAAAAGGAAUAAGAGACAGAGAUAUAAAGAGUGAGAGGGAGAGAGAAAAAGAGAGGGAGAUAUAAAGAGAGGGAGAGAGAUAAAGAGAGGAAGAGAUAUAUAAGGAGAGGGAGAGAGAUACAAAGAGAGAGAGAGAGAGAUAAAGAGAGGGAGAGAGAUAUAAGGAGAGAGAGAGAGAGAGAUAAAGAGAGGGAGAGAGAGAUAAAGAGAGGGAGAGAGAUAUAAGGAGAGGGAGAUAUAAAGAGAGGGAGAGAGAUAUAAAGAGGGAGAUGUAAAGAGAGGGAGAGAGAUAUAAAGCGAGGGAGAUAGAUAUAAAGAGUGGGAGAGAGAGAUAAAGAGAGGGAGAGAGAUAUAAGGAGAGGGACAGAGAUAUAAAGAGAGGGAGAUAUAAAGAGAGGGAGAUAUAAAGAGAGGGAGAGAGAUAUAAAGAGAGGGAGACAGAGAUAAAGAUAGGGAGAUAUAAAGAGAGGGAGAGAGAGAUAAAGAGAGGGAGAUAUAAAGAGAGGGAGAGAGAGAUAAAGAGAGGGAGAGAGAGAUAAAGAGAGGGAGAUAUAAAGAGAGGGAGAGAGAGAUAAAGAGAGGGAGCUAUCAAGAGAGGGAGAUAAAGAGAAGGAGAGAGAUAUAAAGAGAGGGAGAGAGAUGAAGAGAGUGAGAGAGAUAUAAAGAGAGGGGGAGAGAUAUAAAGAGAGAGAGAUAUAUAAAGAGAGGGGGAUAUAAAGAGAGGGAGAGAGAUAUGUAGAGAGGGAGAGAGAGAAAGAGAGGGAGAGAGAGAUAAAGAGAGGGAGAUAUAAAGAGAGGGAGAUAUAAAGAGAGGGAGAGAGAUAUAAAGAGAGGGAGAUGUAAAGAGAGGGAGAGAGAUAUAAGGAGAGGGAGAGAGAUAUAAAGAGAGGGAGAGAGAUAUAAAGAGUGGGAGAGAGAGAUAAAGAGAGGGAGAGAGAUAUAAGGAGAGGGACAGAUAUAUAAAGAGAGGGAGAUAUAAAGAGAGGGAGAGAAAGAUAAAGAGAGGGAGAGAGAUAUAAAGAGAGGGAGAGAGAGAUAAAGAGAUAUAAAGAGAGGGAGAGAGAGAUAAAGAGAGGGAGAUAUAAAGAGAGGGAGAGAGAGAUAAAGAGAGGGAGGUAAAGAGAAGGAGAGAGAUAUAAAGAGAGGGAGAGAGAUGAAGAGAGGGAGAUAUAAAGAGAGGGAUAGAGAUAUAAAUAGAGGGAGAGAGAUAUAAAGAGAGAGAGAGAUAUAAAGGGAGGGAGAGAGAUGAAGA